AUGGCUGGCAAGGCACACAGGCUAAGUGCUGAUGAGAGGGACCAACUGCUGCCAAACUUGAGGGCUGUGGGGUGGAAUGAGCUGGAAGGCCGCAACACCAUCUUCAAGCAAUUCCAUUUCAAAGACUUCAACAUGGCAAUUGAGUUCAUGACAAGGAUGGCCCUGCAGGCUGAGAAAUUGGACCACCAUCCUGAAUGGUUUAAUGUGUACAAGGUCCACAUCACCCUGAGCACCCACGAGUGUGCAGGCCUUUCGGAGUGGGACAUAAACCUGCCAGCUUCACUGAACAAGCAGCAGUGGCCAUGACUGCUCAGGAGUUAUAUGAAUUGGGAAUCCAGGGAAGGAAUUGGGGAGUCCUGGAUCUUGCUGAGUCAUCACUGCCAAGUCUACCCUGGGGGUGGGUCCUUGCUGUGCAAAGGAAAGAAUCCCUCUUCACUGACUGA
RNA transcript from Chrysochloris asiatica (Cape golden mole), 443 nucleotides. It is a transcript of the gene named pterin-4 alpha-carbinolamine dehydratase/dimerization cofactor of hepatocyte nuclear factor 1 alpha pseudogene, with no coding region annotated. The transcript has a single exon. The record is from RefSeq and is a predicted model, not a curated record. NCBI's taxonomy places the organism in Eukaryota, Metazoa, Chordata, Mammalia, Afrosoricida, Chrysochloridae.